AUUGAACGCUGGCGGCAGGCCUAACACAUGCAAGUCGAACGAGUGGGGACGGGUGAGUAACACGUGGGUAACCUCCCAUCAGAGGGGAUAACACUUGGACACAUGUGCUAAACCGAUCCUGAUGGAUGGUCCCGCGGUGCAUUGGCUGGUUGGUGAGGUAACGGCUCACCAAGGCCACGAGGCAUAGCCGACCUGAGAGGGGGAUCGGCCACACGGGGAGUGAGACAGGGCCCAGAGGCCUAAGGUAGGCAGCAGUAGCGAACCGGCGGCAAUGGUCGAAAGUCUGACCGAGCAACGCCACGUUAGUGAAGAAGGUUUUCGGAUCGUAAAGCUCUGUUGUUAGAGAAGCGGUAUCGAAACAGAAAGCCACGGCUAACUACGUGCCAGCAGCCGCGGUAAUUC
This 402-nucleotide ribosomal RNA is filed under the name uncultured bacterium. RNAcentral's name for it is "partial 16S ribosomal RNA". It matches the Rfam family "Bacterial small subunit ribosomal RNA", at positions 29 to 526 of the family's 1533-position model. The record is from RNAcentral.